UACGAAGGGGGCUAGCGUUGCUCGGAAUCACUGGGCGUAAAGCGCACGUAGGCGGCUUUUUAAGUCAGGGGUGAAAUCCCGGAGCUCAACUCCAGAACUGCCUUUGAUACUGGGAAGCUUGAGUCCGGGAGAGGUGAGUGGAACUCCGAGUGUAGAGGUGAAAUUCGUAGAUAUUCGGAAGAACACCAGUGGCGAAGGCGGCUCACUGGCCCGGUACUGACGCUGAGGUGCGAAAGCGUGGGGAGCAAACAGG
Molecule: ribosomal RNA, 253 nt
Filed under: uncultured bacterium
Lineage: Bacteria
Description: partial 16S ribosomal RNA
Rfam family: Bacterial small subunit ribosomal RNA
Source: RNAcentral